AAAAAAUGAGCUUUAAAAAUGAGCAAUGUGGGGGGCAUUUUAAUUUAUAUAAUAGUAUGUAAAUUAUAAACUUCAUAUUUAAUCUCUGAGCUUCAGAAAUAGUCAAGAAACAAUGGAUGGUUCUUUGUUGGCUUAGAAAUAAUUUCCUAGAAUACAACUUGGGUCAUUUUUUGUCUGAAUAUUUGAACAAGGGAAGCCUUGUGUUUCUUUUUCUCCUGGGAAUGCAUGUUCCCAUGUGGGGAGGAGAGAGCUGCUUACCCAUUCCUCCCACUCCUUGUUGCUGCCAUGGCGGCUGGUGCAGGGAGGUUGCAGGGCAGGGACAGAAUGGGGCUAUUUCUUUUUGUUUUGAUGACUAUGAUAUACCAGUUAUUGGGCAAGGCGCUAGGAAAAAAUAUAUCUAUACAAACAGAAGCCACUAAUUCUGAAUUUGGGCAUCAGGGGAGAAGUUUUGGGAUGGAUUGGCAGUUGAGCUAUAUCUUGGAGCACCAGUAGUUUUCUAAUUAAGGAAAUAGGAGGGAAGAACAUUCUAGGCUGAGAGCACAGCCUAAGCAAAAGCAUGGAGGUGGGAGUGGAAAUACUUGAGGAAUAUUCUAGAGCAGGGAUCUACAUGUGGCCCACUGAGGACAUUUAUCCGGCCCACUGGGUAUUUUUGCCGCCGCUGCCUGUCUGUCCUGCUUAACAGCCAACUGGCCCAGAGCCCUCAGUGUGCAUGUGUGGAAUGUGUGCGCAUUCUCCAACGGUCUGAGGGACAGUGAACUGGCCCCCUGUUUAAAAAGUUUGAGGAUCCCUGUUCUAGAGCUUUGAUUGUAAUUGGAACAUAGAGUACGGGGAAGCAAGGAUGCAAUGAAACAUGAGGCAAGAAGAUUAGUUUGGGAUUGAAUCAUGAAGCCAGACACUCUGAGGUUAAGGUUACAAAGAUGAAAAGAUGAAGAGGACAGGAUGUUGGCUCUUGAAGACUUAUCACCAACUGAGAAGCCAGACACAGAAUAACUCUCACCACAUAUCAAGACGUGGUGCAUCUCUAUUGGAGAUGGUACACAGCAUGGGGGCUGCCUGGAGCAUUAGUGAAGGUUUGCAGAGAUUAAAAUCUAUGUGAUACGGCCCUGUUGGUCAAAGACGCUGAUAAGCUCACCCUGGGGCAGCGGCUGCAGAUCACCACCCGCACGCCAUAGAGGGGGUUCUGAAGCAGCCACCGGGACGGUGGAUCACAAAUGUGAGGCUGACUCAUUACCAAGGACUUUUGCUGGACGCACCCGGCAUCGAGUUCCAGACCCCUGCCGCCUUGAAUCCGGCUACGCUUCUGCCAACCCCCGAUGCAGCCGCACCUGAACAUGAUUGCCUUGAGAUCCUAGCUGAGACCCAGACGACUCGUAGAGAUCUUGAAGGAUCGC
Molecule: non-coding RNA, 1391 nt
Organism: Microcebus murinus (gray mouse lemur)
Lineage: Eukaryota; Metazoa; Chordata; Mammalia; Primates; Cheirogaleidae
Source: RefSeq, a predicted model, not a curated record